GCGGGAGUAGCUCAGUGGUAGAGCAUCAGCCUUCCAAGCUGAGGGUCGCGGGUUCGAGCCCCGUCUCCCGCUCCA
RNAcentral lists this transfer RNA (75 nucleotides) under Deltaproteobacteria bacterium. Its description in RNAcentral is "tRNA-Gly". It matches the Rfam family "tRNA". From Rfam's summary of the family: Transfer RNA (tRNA) molecules are approximately 80 nucleotides in length. Their secondary structure includes four short double-helical elements and three loops (D, anti-codon, and T loops). The record is from RNAcentral. RNAcentral also lists the same sequence under 1 other name. Lineage: Bacteria; Pseudomonadati; Myxococcota; Myxococcia.